UGUACGUACAAGCAGUGGGAGCACCUUCGGGUGUGACUGCGUACCUUUUGUAUAAUGGGUCAGCGACUUAUAUUCUGUAGCAAGGUUAACCGUAUAGGGGAGCCGCAGGGAAACCGAGUCUUAACUGGGCGUUAAGUUGCAGGGUAUAGACCCGAAACCCGGUGAUCUAGCCAUGGGCAGGUUGAAGGUUGGGUAACACUAACUGGAGGACCGAACCGACUAAUGUUGAAAAAUUAGCGGAUGACUUGUGGCUGGGGGUGAAAGGCCAAUCAAACCGGGAGAUAGCUGGUUCUCCCCGAAAGCUAUUUAGGUAGCGCCUCGUGAACUCAUCUUCGGGGGGUAGAGCACUGUUUCGGCUAGGGGGUCAUCCCGACUUACCAACC
RNAcentral lists this ribosomal RNA (383 nucleotides) under Klebsiella pneumoniae. RNAcentral describes it as "bacterial LSU rRNA". It matches the Rfam family "Bacterial large subunit ribosomal RNA", at positions 559 to 944 of the family's 2925-position model. Lineage: Bacteria; Pseudomonadati; Pseudomonadota; Gammaproteobacteria; Enterobacterales; Enterobacteriaceae. The record is from RNAcentral.